Molecule: ribosomal RNA, 1439 nt
Filed under: Neoascotaiwania terrestris
Lineage: Eukaryota; Fungi; Ascomycota; Sordariomycetes; Savoryellales; Savoryellaceae
Description: bacterial SSU rRNA
Rfam family: Eukaryotic small subunit ribosomal RNA
Source: RNAcentral
AGUGAAACUGCGAAUGGCUCAUUAUAUAAGUUAUCGUUUAUUUGAUAGUGCCUAUCCUACAUGGAUAACAGUGGUAAUUCUAGAGCUAAUACAUGCUAAAAGCUCCAACUUCGGAAGGAGCGUAUUUAUCAGAUUCAGAACCAAUGCCCUCACGGGCUCCUUGGUGGCUCAUGAUAACUCCACAGAUCGCAUGGCCUUGCGCCGGCGAUGGCUCAUUCAAAUUUYUUCCCUAUCAACUUUCGACGGUACGGUCUUGGCCUACCGUGGUUGCAACGGGUGACGGAGGGUUAGGGCUCGACCCCGGAGAGGGASCCUGAGAAACGGCUACCACAUCCAAGGAAGGCAGCAGGCGCGCAAAUUAUCCAAUCCCGACUCGGGGAGAUAGUGAGUUAUACCAGUUCUUUUCCAUGGCUUUCAUACUUGAAGUUGAAUGCUAACCAGAUACAAUAGGUGACAAUAAAUACCGAUACAGGGCUCUUUUGGGCCCCGUAAUUGGAAUGAGUACAAUUUAAACCUCUUAACGAGGAACAAUUGGAGGGCAAGUCUGGUGGACGUCCAGUCCCUGCUGGCGCCAGCAAGAGUGGGAGACGCGUCGUGGCCCGGUCGCGUCUUCGGACCCGCUAGUCGAGCAUCUACUCUUGACGGGAAGAUGUCGGCGAGACAACCUGGAUCGGGGGAGGCUAAGGGGCGCUUGGUCGCCCUAUGUUAACCCCGAGCAGAGCUUUCAGAGAGUGAUUUUUGAAAAGCCUGUGUAGAGCGCGGAAAGGUGUCGGCUGCCCUGCGAGAUUCUCUCAGGCGGCUUAAGGGACGUGCCGUUCCCCGCGAAAGCGGGUUCUUGUUUGAAGUACCCGUCAUACGAAGAGCAAGAAGCACUUUGGGCGUUCAUUCCCGGAGUGCGAACAGAUGACAAGACGGCCAGCAGCCGCGGUAAUUCCAGCUCCAAUAGCGUAUAUUAAAGUUGUUGUGGUUAAAAAGCUCGUAGUCGAACCUCGAGCCCGGCCGGCCGGUCCGCCUCACCGCGUGCACUGGUCUGGCCGGGCUCUUCCCUCUGCGGAACCGCAUGCCCUUUACUGGGCGUGUCGGGGAGGCAGGACUUUUACUUUGAAAAAAUUAGAGUGCUCAAGGCAGGCCAAUGCUCGGAUACAUUAGCAUGGAAUAAUAGAAUAGGACGUUGGUUCUAUUUUGUUGGUUUCUAGGACCGCCGUAAUGAUCAAUAGGGACGGUCGGGGGCAUCAGUAUUCAGCCGCGAGAGGUGAAAUUCUUAGACCGGCUGAAGACUAACUACUGCGAAAGCAUUUGCCAAGGACGUUUUCGCUGAUCAGGAACGAAAGUUAGGGGAUCGAAGACGAUCAGAUACCGUCGUAGUCUUAACCAUAAACGGUGCCGACUUGGGAUCGGGCGCUGUUCUCUCUAGACGCGCUCGGCACCAUUCGAGAAAU